Rattus norvegicus (Norway rat) is the source of this 1795-nucleotide long non-coding RNA. RefSeq lists it as uncharacterized. The record is from RefSeq and is a predicted model, not a curated record. NCBI's taxonomy places the organism in Eukaryota, Metazoa, Chordata, Mammalia, Rodentia, Muridae.
GUCACUGAGACAGGUGGUCACCAGCUGGCAAGUAGGAUCCCAGCCCGGUGUCUCCGAAAGCCCUUCGCAGUAAGAAAGCAUGAUGGUCCCAGUAACGCACCAGAAUGGCCUUGCUGGCCGUCGGCCUGAGAUUCCAUCUCUGUCAGAUGCCUGGCUCCAUGCCCUGCCACUCCUCCCACAAGAAUUUAACUUAAGAAAAGGUUUGCUUACGGUUCUCCCCACACUGGGAAGAGGCAACAAGCUCUUUCAGGGGCAUCAACACUGACCGACCUCUGACUUUUUGUGGAUGUCUAAGGCGAGAGGGGUUGGGGUAAUGAAAAUCAAAUAGGAGAAACGAGCGAGUGGAUUUGCUCGCUACUGUUUAGAAACAGACUGUGUGUGUGUGUGUGUGUGUGUGUGUGUGUGUGUGUGUGUGUGUGUGUGUGUGUGUGUGUGAUAGAGAGACAGAGACAGAGACAGAGAGAGACACACACAGAGAGAGACACGGACAGAUGGAGGAACCCGGGUAGCAUUUUCAAAGAACAAAGGACUUGAUCUGAUAUUUUUUCAUUCUGCAAAAUUAGCCUUGCUUCUGUCAACAUUUCAGCCUUGGCCAAGAUAUUCAAGUUACCAUCUUCACUACAGACACUAAACUACAGAACCCAGGGCAGCAUACUGGACCUAUUUUUAGGCACUCAAAUAGCCAUAUGAACAGAUCCAAGGAGGACAGAUUUGAGCGAGCAUCUGAGAAGAGGCUUCUUCUGUUGCAGACAGACUAACUCUUCAAAUGACUAAUGGUGGCCCACAGCUUGGCUGUAGUAUCCUGAAAGACUGAGGCAAUCAUCUCGUGGCUCAGUCAUUCCUGAAUUCCCAUUCCACAGAAACUAUGCAAAAUGAUAAACCUUUGCUAUUUGAAAUCACUAUUUGCAGUAAUUCAUUUGACAGUAAUAACUGCCUGAUGCAAAGUUGGUUUUUGUCAGCCUGAUGCAAACCUAGAUACAGCAGGGCAGAGGGAAUCUCAACUGAGGAACUGCGUCCAUCAGAUUGCCCAGAGGCAAGUCUGUGGAACAUUUUCUUAAUUAACCACUGAUAUGGGAGGGCUCGGCCCUCUGUGGGUGGCACCCUCCAUGGACUGGUGGUCUGGAAUUAUCUAAGAAAACAGGCUGAAGCUGUGAGAUACAAACCAGAAAGCACCAUUCCUUCAUGGUCUGGUGCUGGAACUGCUUCAGUUCCUGCUUCUAGGUUCCUGCCUUGGGUUCCUGCCUUGGGUUCCUGCCCUGCCCUCCAACUUCCACAUGACUCUGAACUGAAGUUGAAACCCUUUCCUCCUCAAGUUGCUUUGGUCAUGGUUUCUUUCUCAGCAAAAUAUGUAACAAUCUUUGUAUUUACAAAUAACCUAUAUUUUUAUCAUACAGUGGGGCUAUAUGCACUACCGUGGGCUCUCAGUCAUUUUAAAAGUCCUAGGGAUGAGGAAGGACUGGGAUAGCAUCUGAUUUAAAGGAAAAGAGGUAGAGGUUCUGAUGGAUCAAACCACCCCCUAGGACACACACGUUUAGAUGUGUGCAAAGCCACAGAUACCAAACUGACUCCAAAACCUGGUGCACAUCCUCUGACUGUUUCCAACUCCCUCACUGUGACUUUUCAUAACUCUACACAGGGUUUAUUCUUAAGUCAUAUUUCCCUUAGUCCUGAAUUUAUCAACCUGGAAGUAAGUUUGAGUGACAUGAAUCUGCUCUAUUGUAUUGCUUUAAACUAGCAUUGUCUGAUUGAAAUGUAAAUUCUGGCACCACAAACAUUUCACAUUUUCUACUAUAUU